CCUGCCAUGAGCAUCAGGCUCCUGUGCUGUGUGGCCUUUUCUCUCCUGUGUGCAGGUCCAGUGAUGGCUGGGAUCACCCAGGCCUCAAGAUCUCAGAUCCUGGCAGUAGGAUGGAGCAUGACACUGAGAUGUACCCAGGAUAUGAGACAUAAUGCCAUGUACUGGUAUAGACAAGAUCUAGGACUGGGGCUAAGGCUCAUCCAUUACUCAAAUACUGCAGGUACCACUGGCAAAGGAGAAGUCCCUGAUGGUUAUAGUGUCUCCAGAGCAAACACAGAUGAUUCCCCUGUCACGCUGGCAUCUGCUGUACCCUCUCGGACAUCUGCGUACUUCUGUGCCAGCAGUGACUCCACAGUGCUGCACAGCCAUCUCCUCUCUGACAAGGACGUCCCUCCUCCUCUGCUCCUGCUCACAGUGACCCUGAUCGGGUAA
Molecule: non-coding RNA, 432 nt
Organism: Symphalangus syndactylus (siamang)
Lineage: Eukaryota; Metazoa; Chordata; Mammalia; Primates; Hylobatidae
Source: the annotation of a RefSeq genome assembly